AUCAGUAACUUUUUGUUCUUUUUUUAACAAUUGUUAGCUUGCCCAAAAAUUGUUAAUUUUAAAUUUUUAAAAAUUGAUAUAAAAUGUUAAUUGGUAUCAAUAUUAUUAUUAGGUAUAAAUUUAUUAUUAAUAUAAUGUUAAUUAUAUGAUUUAUAUAUGUGUCAUCAUUAUAAUGUACUGCCAACAAAUAAUAAGAAAUGUAAUGGUCAAUCUCAAUCCAUGUGAAAAUGACGGAUGAAUCCAGAAUUUUUUUUUUGUUUUGUUCGCCCAAUUAAAUGCAAAAUCGACGGCAUGCUUCGAGCAAUCAUUCAAAACGAAAAAUAGAUUCGAUCGGUUAAGCAGAAAAUGAAAUUAAGCCCUCCCUAAAGCAGAGCAGAGAUGCAGCAGCAACGGCCGCACCACCACCAGUCGGGACGGAGCCGAGACGCAGCAGCAGCAGCACCAAUCAAUCCUCAACAGAGAUGCAGCAGUAUCAGUCGAUCCACCAUGGCCGAAGCAGAGCAGAGACGCACCACCACCACCACCACUAGUCGAGAUGGAGCUGAGACGCAAUAGUAGUAGCUGAUUUUGGUUGGAGAACUGUCACUGAGAGAACGAGAGCUAUGGAUGAGAGAGAUGAGAGAGAAAGAGAGCUGUGGAUGAGAGAGAUGAGAGAGAGAGGUGUAUUUUGAUCGGGUUUUGUUUUGCGAUUUAUUCUAAAAUUUGGUUCGUGAUUCACUGAGAACGUGUUAAACACGUUCUCAAUUUUAUAACUGUAAAUGGAAAUUUGAAUUAUUUGUUUUACAGUUUAUUUUUGAAUUCAGCGUACCAAACGGGUAUUACAUUUAAACUCCAAAAACGAAAAUGAAAAUAAGCCCUUGAAAAUGAUACCAAACGGGCCCUUAGUAAUUACAAGAAUGGCAUCAAAGUGGAGCUAUCCAGUCUUAACGAAUAUUAAAGAUUAUUACUCCAUAUUUUGCCAAGAAGUUUAGCUGACAAAAGAGUUUUUAUUCAAUAAAAAAAUGUCAAAAAACACUAAUUUAUUGCCGAAUCUAACUUUAGGGAAAGUAAUUUGAGAGUUGUAAAUUUGUUAAAAGAAAAUUUGUAAUUAUUGACCAAUGAUCUCUUUUGAAAAUGUUCUUGUUCCGUUUAAUUCUUUUUUUCCCUCUAUUUAUUCUUUUUUUCACUCUAUUUCAACAUGAGAGUCAAAUUUCCAUAACUCGAUCUGUGAGAUGAAACUUUUUUGUUUGCCAUAAUAAAUAAAGUUGGAAAUUUCUUAUAUUUAAUUUUCUACAAUAGUCCAAUGUUAUUUGCUUAUUUAUUUUAUUAAAAUUUAUAUGCAAUUUAACAAAUGAAUACGUGAUGAGCAAAGAUAAAAUCCUUUAACAGAAUGUUUUAUUCAUAAGCAUACUAAAGAUUAAUCACGUGAAAUUUGUGAUCAAUAUUUUUACUGCAAUCUCAAUCAUUUUUUUGGAUUUUGCUCAAUCUCUUACUUUUUUUUGUUUUUAAAAUAUUUUUACUUUUUUUUUUGUUUUUAAAGCAACAAGAACGAGAUGUCCAUAACUACCAUCUCUGACGAACGUGACCUCAUCCCGCCGCCGCAGGUGCCGAUUCCACCACCAAAAAUAAAAAAAAAAAACCUAUACAAGCGCUGGAAAAUUGUCAUAUUCUUUUGCAUACUAUGGCGUCGGCUACGAAGGCAUGCAAAGGAACCCAGCCGCCAAAACCAUUGAAGGCGAUCUCAAAGACCCAAUAAUCAAAGCCACACAACUCUCCGACAAAUCACCCAAAGGGAACUUAUAAGAAAAAGAAAGAUAAAAAAACAAAGGAAAAGGAAAAGAACGAAAAAGAAAACAGAAGAAAAGAAAAGAAAAGAAAGGAAAAGAAAGGAAAAGAAAGAACAAGAAAACAGAGGCAAAGAAAAAGAAAAAGAAAAAAAAAAGAACUAGGAAGUUCUGAGAAUAAAACAAAAAAAGGGGCCUUUAAAAGAGAAAGCAAAAACGGUACUUGUAAAUAUUGUUGUAUAACUUUGGAUUAUUUAUUACAAUCUAUUUUAUUGGUUAUUAUAUUACAAUUAUUGUAUUCUUUUAUAAUA
RNAcentral lists this long non-coding RNA (2074 nucleotides) under Citrus x clementina. RNAcentral describes it as "Citrus clementina (C. clementina) long non-coding RNA (CCLE_LNC005335)". The record is from RNAcentral. Lineage: Eukaryota; Viridiplantae; Streptophyta; Magnoliopsida; Sapindales; Rutaceae.